GACGAACGCUGGCGGUGCGCCUUAUGCAUGCAAGUCGAGCGAAGCUUUUCAGUAGUUUACUACAGAAAAUGACUGAGCGGCGAACGGGUGAGUAACGCGUGAGCAACCUACCUUAGUUACUGGGAUAGCCCGAGGAAACUCGGAUUAAUACCGGAUAUUCUUAUUUAAUCACAUGAUUUUUUAAGGAAAGGUCAGCCGAACUAAGAUGGGCUCGCGUUCUAUCAGCUAGUUGGUAGGGUAAUGGCCUACCAAGGCUACGACGGAUAGCUGGUCUGAGAGGACGAUCAGCCACACUGGGACUGAGACACGGCCCAGACUCCUACGGGAGACUGCAGCAGGGAAUAUUGCGCAAUGAGCGAAAGCUUGACGCAGCGACACCGCGUGUGGGAUGACGGAUCUAGGUUUGUAAACCACUUUCAGGAGGGAAGAAAAUGACGGUACCUCCACAAGAAGCCCCGGCCA
RNAcentral lists this ribosomal RNA (462 nucleotides) under uncultured bacterium. RNAcentral describes it as "bacterial SSU rRNA". It matches the Rfam family "Bacterial small subunit ribosomal RNA", at positions 28 to 499 of the family's 1533-position model. The record is from RNAcentral.